CAGAAUUGUACUGCGAAUAGUAUGUUAGCAUAUGUUCUUACGUAACCAAUACAAUGCUGGAUUCUAGGCGCGCUUGGUAUAAAUGCUAAACCCCACCCAGGCAACAUGCAUUCGUUCUUGGAUAGCGUGCUGAUGACACGCAGUGUUUAGUCUCAAGACGUUGCGGACUGUUAUGAUAAUGCCGUACGUGGGAUACAGUGGAACUAUAGCGUGCAGGGAACUGUCUUUGAUACGGUGCUGAUACUAACUCCAUGAUAUAUCGGAUGAUAAUUUACUGGCCGCUUCAAACUUUGCCUGGAAGAUAUAAAAGACCAUUUCGACACUCCACAUGAAUAUGAAGAUUGCAUGUAUGAGUAUAAAGACUGUGGAUAGUGUCAUGAAGAGGGUCAAAGCUAGCGCACAGUCUCCAGUCGGACUACUUCGUCUUCAGGAUGUUGAGUUCUUGCCGAUCAAGAAUUUCUAGGACUGCAUGCUAGGCAUUGUCAAACACUGCGAACCUUGUCAAAACAUUUGCUUCAACUGUGAAACAUUUAUAUCGUUGAAACGUUUAAAUUGUUACAUGUAACAUUACUAUGUGCGAACAUUCUGAACAAGAAAAAAAUGUUUCUUGACUAAUAUCGCCUAAACACUGUAAGAAAUUGUAUAAGAAAAUGCAUGAAAUUCUAUUUGAGAAACGGUGUAGCAUGCUGUAUAAGAAACAAAAAUGGUUCUUGACUUUCACGUAAAGGAACGAAUGAUGCCUAAAUUCCAUUUGAGAACCGGUGUAGCAUGCUGUAUAAAAAACAAAGAAAGUUCUUAACUUUCACGCAAUCGUUCGAAUGAUGCAUAAAAUUACAUUUGAAAAACGGUGUAGGACCUAUGAGAAAAUUCUGUAUGAGAAAAAAAUGGUUCUUGUAAACGUACGAAAUGUAUAAGAAAAUGCAUAAAAUCAUCAUUGAAAAAACGGUGUAGUAAAGCUGCAACUGUGCAAGACUA
Molecule: long non-coding RNA, 975 nt
Organism: Patiria miniata (bat star)
Lineage: Eukaryota; Metazoa; Echinodermata; Asteroidea; Valvatida; Asterinidae
Exons: 2
Source: RefSeq, a predicted model, not a curated record